RNAcentral lists this ribosomal RNA (433 nucleotides) under uncultured bacterium. RNAcentral describes it as "partial 16S ribosomal RNA". It matches the Rfam family "Bacterial small subunit ribosomal RNA", at positions 29 to 507 of the family's 1533-position model. The record is from RNAcentral.
AACGAACGCUGGCGGCAUGCCUAACACAUGCAAGUCGAACGAGACCUUCCUGUCUAGUUGCGCACCUCUGCGUGCCGCCGGGUAACCUGCCCUUAGGUUCGCAAUACCUCCCCGAAAGGGGUGCUAAUACCGGUUAAUGUCUUCGGAGCAAAGAUUUAUCGCCUUUGGAUGGGCCCGGGUUGGAUUAGCUGGUUGGUAGGGUAAAAGCCUACCAAGGCGACGUUCCAUAGCUGGUCGGAGAGGAUGGUUAGCCACACUGGGACUGCGACACGGCCCAGACUCGUACGGGAGGCAGCAGUGGGGAAUAUUGGACACUGGGCGAAAGUCUGAUCAAGCCAUGCCGCGUGAGUGAUGAAGGCGUUAGGGUUGUAAAGCUCUUUUACACGGGACGAUAAUGACAGUACUGGGAGAAUAAGCUCCGGCUAACUCCGUG